AUGGGAGGUCCCCGGGUGCUUCUGAGGCCAGAAACCUCCUGUGCUAGGCUUCCCAGGGGGAGAGAACCAGCCGUCGUACUGUGCAAGUCAUUUUGGUUUCAGCUUACUUUCGAGUCUGGCCCCCGACACAGAACACUCAGGGUUCCUGGCUCAGUGACAGCACCCAGAUGGGAGGUACUGGGAGGGGAGGCUCAGCUCCAGGGCACAGGGGGCAAUGGCGGGCACAGCUGGAACUCGGAAUGCGAAUACAGGGUCCAGCCUUACCCACGAGACGGCCUGCUGGCCCCCGUGACUCCAGGGCUCGGUUCCCAUGCCUCGCCAGUGAACCGGAACAGAAGUUACGAAUGCUCUGUGCCCUCCUCACCCCCCACACACGCCUCCUUGUGUCUGUGGGGGAACAAAAGGGGAACUGCAUCUUGUUCUAUUUAUAAGACCCCGCAGAGCCACAAAAGCCGACAACCCGGGUGCUCAGGAGGUCUGAGCAGGUGCCCAGUUGGAUUUGCAAGGCCACUUCGCCUCCCCUCCAUGCACCCCGCUUGUCACCGUUCCUCUUUGUGGACGACUUCGAAAACAAACCCGGGGAACAGGAAGCAGGAGGGGAGCGGCAGGGCCGCGCAGGCAGAGGGGGGUCACCCAGGGCCACGUGUGCUCUCUCCACGGGCAUGGCGCAGUCCACGGCUCCGGCACAAUCAAAGAGAAAGAAAAGGCCGGCUUGCUGUUAUUUUUAAUUCCUUCCUCCACGCCUUCCAAAAUUCUUGGGCAGAGGGAUCCGCCCACUACAGUUUCACUCCCCUCCCAGCCAACAGCAACUCAGAGGCGUCUGCCAAAGCGGGCCAAGGGGGCAGGAACAGUCAUCCCCAGAAAAAGUCUCUGCUCGUGGCCACUAAGCAUCACCCAAGCUGCACCGGGCCCAGGGCCAUCACCACCUGGGUUUCAGAGCCCAGUGGGGGUGCAGACAUCCUCACGCCCCACCCACCCCCACUCAACUGCCCUUGCCCGCCCAGUAAGUGUCACGUUGCCUACCUCCUACACCGCGCUCCACGAAGCUCCACAGCUCACCUGCCAUGUGAGGUCGCCCGGAAGUCUCUUCCAGGCUUAAACCAUCCCAGCAGCGCCCGUGAUAUGAUCUGA
RNAcentral lists this long non-coding RNA (1131 nucleotides) under Oryctolagus cuniculus (rabbit). Its description in RNAcentral is "lncRNA (ENSOCUG00000032035.1)". The record is from RNAcentral. Lineage: Eukaryota; Metazoa; Chordata; Mammalia; Lagomorpha; Leporidae.